Molecule: small nuclear RNA, 112 nt
Filed under: Neogale vison (American mink)
Lineage: Eukaryota; Metazoa; Chordata; Mammalia; Carnivora; Mustelidae
Description: Neovison vison (American mink) U4 spliceosomal RNA (ENSNVIG00000005085.1)
Rfam family: U4 spliceosomal RNA
About the family: U4 small nuclear RNA (U4 snRNA) is a component of the major U2-dependent spliceosome. The structure of U4 snRNA from yeast and human has been reported. U4 snRNA presents a k-turn RNA motif in the 5p-SL related to recognition of Snu13 protein.
Source: RNAcentral
AGCUUUGCGCAGUGGCAGUAUCGUAGCCAAUGAGGUUUAUCCGAGGCGCGCUUAUUGCUAAUUGAAAAGAACAAAGACCAUUCAAUGGGAAAAAUGUAGUCUUUUCAACAAA